Cinara cedri is the source of this 202-nucleotide non-coding RNA. The record is from the annotation of a GenBank genome assembly. NCBI's taxonomy places the organism in Eukaryota, Metazoa, Arthropoda, Insecta, Hemiptera, Aphididae.
CCACUAACAUCGCCGCCAUCGCCAGCCACUGCAGUUGUUGAAAUUUUGUCUCUUAUAUACAUUCCUGCAUGCUCUCCAUUCUAUAUAGCCGUUUAUUCGAAAUUGAAAAACUUAAUUUAUACGCGCGCGCGCGUCCCAAAAUUAACGGUCCCGUUAUUUAAAUAAUAUAAUAUUUUAAAGCCGAAAGUUUUUAAAACGAAUC